GGAGUCUGGACCGUGUCUCAGUUCCAGUGUGGGGGACCUUCCUCUCAGAACCCCUACUGAUCGUCGGCCAGGUGGGCCGUCACCCCGCCUGCUGCCUAAUCAGACGCAUCCCCAUCCCUUAGCGAUGUACUUUGCUUCAUUUCAGAUGCCCUCCACGAAGAACAUAGGGUGUUAAUCCGACUUUCGCCGGGCUAUGCCCUACUAAGGGGAAGGUUGGAUACGCGUUACUCACCCGUGCGCCGGUCGCCAUCAACAAAAGACAAGCUUUCGUUUAUGCUGCCCCUCGACUUGCAUGUGUUAAGCCUGUAGCUAGCGUUCAUC
RNAcentral lists this ribosomal RNA (321 nucleotides) under uncultured Prevotella sp. RNAcentral describes it as "partial 16S ribosomal RNA". Lineage: Bacteria; Pseudomonadati; Bacteroidota; Bacteroidia; Bacteroidales; Prevotellaceae. The record is from RNAcentral.